Molecule: long non-coding RNA, 494 nt
Filed under: Ananas comosus (pineapple)
Lineage: Eukaryota; Viridiplantae; Streptophyta; Magnoliopsida; Poales; Bromeliaceae
Description: long non-coding RNA (ACOM_LNC039359)
Source: RNAcentral
UCAACAAGUAGAAUAAUUUUUCACUAUUUAUUUUUAUUAAUUAUAAAUUAAAUUCUGCUACUAUACUAUCGAUAGAACUAACCACUUAAUAUUAUUGAGUUUUCUGUCAUUAGAUCUAUUUUUUAACCAUCUCCGCCCGGUAGAUCAUACAACUACCCAUUCAAUCAUAAAAAAUCACUAUUAUCCUAAUUGCACAUCCCUUCAUCUAAGAACCGAAACCUAAUAGCACUAACUGCUUGACUAUUAAUAGUAUCGUAGUGGUAGUAUAGCGGCUUAAUUCAUUAUAAAUUUAUGUUGUUUUGUUCAUGAAUAAUAGUUGUUUUGAGUUGCUAUGAUAUGCAAAAAAUAUAUUUAGUAUAUUAAUUAUCUUUAAUUAAUCGUAUUUGUUUAUUAUUGUUGUUUGUGAAAAGUAAUUAGUUUUUUUUAUUGGUAAUUAGCAUAUGAUUAAUUUUAUGUGGUUUGAAAGAAACUAAUUUAUUUAUGAAUAAUAUUUG